This is a long non-coding RNA of Cyanistes caeruleus (blue tit), 1549 nucleotides long. Lineage: Eukaryota; Metazoa; Chordata; Aves; Passeriformes; Paridae. The record is from Ensembl.
CUGCAGGUCUUCAGAGGAAUGUCAGGCUGAGGGCUGCAUUCCUGCUGGGCUGUGUUUUCCUGGGUUAGUGCCUGGUGCCAGGCAUUUUUCUGUGCUGAUUUGGUGAAUGUUGUUUCAGAGGAGCUGGUGUGAGCAGCACAGGAGUCCUCCACACCUCAGCAACUUUCUGCUCUCUGUUCCACCAGAGUGAACCAGGAAUGGAGCAGCUCUUUUGGGAAGUUCUGUGAACCCUUUGGUUUGUCUCUGCUGCAUCUGGGCAGUGAUGGCACAGGAGGUGAGGGAAUCAUUUUGCUUCUCCUGAGGCAGCUUCACUAAAAGGUCACACCCUAUGGACCAGAGCUGAGCUCUGGUUUCUUUUGCACUGUCCCUACCCCUCAGGAGCUGACUGCAAGCUCACACAGGUGAUGUUCCUUAAAUCCUUAACUUCCAGAAGGACAGAAUUGCAUCAGAACCUCCACUUUCAGCUCACUCAGCUCAGUUCAUCUCAUCUCUUACCUGGGCCAAGACAAGUGCUGCCCAUCUCACCCUUCAUGGAGAUCACUGGACAAGAGGAGUCGAGGCCACUGUCUGCUGUGAGCUUCCCAGCUGGUCCACCUGGGAAUUGUAAAAUUCCCUUUCCACGCACAGGUAGGAAAUCACAUUUAGUAUUUCAGCCAGUGGGGUAGAAAUGGGGGCAGCACCUCAGAAGCUGCUUCUCAACCACUCCCUGAUUUUCAGCCCAGCCACAGUGGCACGUUGGGAGCUGUUUCAGCAGGCACCAGGCUCCCUGAGAGCCCGAGCCCAGGCAGGGAGCAGCGUGCUCUGGCCACGUUGCCUCCAUCCUGCCUGUCCCAGCUCGCCCUGAACCGCCUGCCUGUCUGCCCCAAAAAUCCCUCCUCGCUGCUCAAAGGAUAUAAAGGGAACGUGGGGCAAAGCACAGAACAAUUCUUCGGCCUCUGAAGCUGUUAAAAAUAUUUUUGAUAAAGGUACACAUAAGCACAGCUGAGCUCCAGUGAACACCUUCUUGUUUCUCAUGGUAAUUUUAUAUUGUUCCUGAAGCAGAGCCUGAUUUUUCUCUUUGUGAAAGGAGAAUUUUAAUUCUGGUCCUAUUCAUUAAUCAUAUCAAAACCCAAGGUAUGCAGAUGUUAUUUUUCAGUAAUUUUAAGGUGCUGGUGUAUUAGUAAAAGAUUAAGAAAUGCAAAAUAGCUGUAAAGCGUUUGGGUUUUUUCUUGAAGUGUUUGGUUUCCUCACAUUAUUGCAGACUGCAUAUAUCUUUAUUUCUCAGUAAGAGCAAACUGUGGUCCUGAACCUCUACAAUUCCAAAAACAAGCAAAGAUAGUGACUUUUUGAAAGUAAAGAUCAAAUAGUUCCACGAAAAAUGAGCACUGUCACAAAAAGAAGCAUAAACUUCUCCUGCCUAGUGGUGGCUUCCAAGACAUCAGACAUUUUGUAAACCAGCACUCGGAUCCAGACCACGCAGAAUUGGGAUGGUCCUGCUUUUCCUGUUAAUUUUUCCACUAUGAGAGUGUCCAAAACUCUCUGAAAUAAAGGAUUGCUGUCAAGGGGUUCA